UAGGGAAUCUUCCGCAAUGGGCGAAAGCCUGACGGAGCAACGCCGCGUGAGUGAUGAAGGUCUUCGGAUCGUAAAACUCUGUUAUUAGGGAAGAACAAAUGUGUAAGUAACUAUGCACAUCUUGACGGUACCUAAUCAGAAAGCCACGGCUAACUACGUGCCAGCAGCCGCGGUAAUACGUAGGUGGCAAGCGUUAUCCGGAAUUAUUGGGCGUAAAGCGCGCGUAGGCGGUUUUUUAAGUCUGAUGUGAAAGCCCACGGCUCAACCGUGGAGGGUCAUUGGAAACUGGAAAACUUGAGUGCAGAAGAGGAAAGUGGAAUUCCAUGUGUAGCGGUGAAAUGCGCAGAGAUAUGGAGGAACACCGGUGGCGAAAGCGGCUCUCUGGUCUGUAACUGACGCUGAGGCUCGAAAGCGUGGGGAGCGAACAGG
This 429-nucleotide ribosomal RNA is filed under the name Bacteroidota bacterium. Its description in RNAcentral is "Bacteroidetes bacterium partial 16S ribosomal RNA". It matches the Rfam family "Bacterial small subunit ribosomal RNA", at positions 355 to 776 of the family's 1533-position model. Lineage: Bacteria; Pseudomonadati; Bacteroidota. The record is from RNAcentral.